Molecule: ribosomal RNA, 620 nt
Filed under: uncultured archaeon
Lineage: Archaea
Description: bacterial SSU rRNA
Rfam family: Archaeal small subunit ribosomal RNA
Source: RNAcentral
UUCGCCCUUUUCCGGUUGAUCCUGCCGGACCCGACUGCUAUCAGAGUGGGACUAAGCCAUGCGAGUCGACGUAGCAAUACGUGGCGAACGGCUCAGUAACACGUAGUCAACAUGCCCAGGGGACGUGGAUAAUCUCGGGAAACUGAGAAUAAACCACGAUAGGUCACGAUUUCUGGAAUGGAUCUUGGCUCAAAUCUACAUGGCCCCUGGAUUGGACUGCGGCCGAUCAGGCUGUUGGUGAGGUAAUGGCCCACCAAACCUAUAACCGGUACGGGCUCUGAGAGGAGGAGCCCGGAGAUGGGCACUGAGACAAGGGCCCAGGCCCUAUGGGGCGCAGCAGGCGCGAAACCUCUGCAAUAGGCGAAAGCCUGACAGGGUUACUCUGAGUGAUUCCCGCUAAGGGGAUCUUUUGGCACCUCUAAAAAUGGUGCAGAAUAAGGGGUGGGCAAGUCUGGUGUCAGCCGCCGCGGUAAUACCAGCACCCCGAGUGGUCGGGACGAUUAUUGGGCCUAAAGCAUCCGUAGCCGGUUCUGCAAGUCCUCCGUUAAAUCCAACCGCUCAACGGAUGGGCCGCGGAGGAUACUAUAGGACUAGGAGGCGGGAGAGGCAAGCGGUACUCA